RNAcentral lists this ribosomal RNA (450 nucleotides) under uncultured Glomus. RNAcentral describes it as "SSU rRNA". It matches the Rfam family "Eukaryotic small subunit ribosomal RNA", at positions 569 to 1025 of the family's 1831-position model. The record is from RNAcentral. Lineage: Eukaryota; Fungi; Glomeromycota; Glomeromycetes; Glomerales; Glomeraceae.
AGCAGCCGCGGUAAUUCCAGCUCCAAUAGCGUAUAUUAAAGUUGUUGCAGUUAAAAAGCUCGUAGUUGAAUUUCGGGACCAAUUUGUUGGUCGUGCCUCGGUACGUACUGGUAUUAUUGGUUUCUCCCUUCUGAAGAACCUUGAUGUCAUUAAUUUGGUGUCUUGGGGAAUCAGGACUGUUACUUUGAAAAAUUAGAGUGUUUAAAGCAGGCAUACGCUUGAAUACAUUAGCAUGGAAUAAUGAAAUAGGACGUUUGAUUCUAUUUUGUUGGUUUCUAGGAUCGACGUAAUGAUUAAUAGGGAUAGUUGGGGGCAUUAGUAUUCAAUUGUCAGAGGUGAAAUUCUUGGAUUUAUUGAAGACUAACUACUGCGAAAGCAUUUGCCAAGGAUGUUUUCAUUAAUCAAGAACGAAAGUUAGGGGAUCGAAGACGAUCAGAUACCGUCGUAGUC